Molecule: transfer RNA, 66 nt
Filed under: Ixodes acutitarsus
Lineage: Eukaryota; Metazoa; Arthropoda; Arachnida; Ixodida; Ixodidae
Description: tRNA-Gly
Source: RNAcentral
GUUUAAUUAGUAUAUAAUUUAAGUACAUUUAACUUCCAAUUAAAAAGAUUAAUUUUAAAUUAAACA